CCAAUAGCGUAUAUUAAAGUUGUUGCAGUUAAAAAGCUCGUAGUUGAAUUUCGGGAUCAAUUAAUUGGUCGUGCCUCUGGUACGUACUGAUUUUAUUGGUUUCUCCCUUCUGAAGAACCAUGAUGUCAUUAAUUUGGUGUCGUGGAGAAUCAGGACUGUUACUUUGAAAAAAUUAGAGUGUUUAAAGCAAGCUAACGCUUGAAUACAUUAGCAUGGAAUAAUGAAAUAGGACGUUUGAUCCUAUUUUGUUGGUUUCUAGGAUCGACGUAAUGAUUAAUAGGGAUAGUUGGGGGCAUUAGUAUUCAAUUGUCAGAGGUGAAACUCUUGGAUUUAUUGAAGACUAACUACUGCGAAAGCAUUUGCCAAGGAUGUUUUCAUUAAUCAAGAACGAAAGUUAGGGGAUCGAAGACGAUCAGAUACCGUCGUAGUCUUAACCAUAAACUAUGCCGACUAGGGAUCGGAUGAUGUUAAUUUUUUAAUGACUCAUUCGGCGCCUUAC
Molecule: ribosomal RNA, 499 nt
Filed under: uncultured Glomeromycotina
Lineage: Eukaryota; Fungi; Glomeromycota
Description: partial small subunit ribosomal RNA
Rfam family: Eukaryotic small subunit ribosomal RNA
Source: RNAcentral